AGCGAACGCUGGCGGCAGGCCUAACACAUGCAAGUCGAACGAACCUUUCGGGGUUAGUGGCGGACGGGUGAGUAACACGUGGGAACGUGCCUUUAGGUUCGGAAUAACUCAGGGAAACUUGUGCUAAUACCGAAUGUGCCCUUCGGGGGAAAGAUUUAUCGCCUUUAGAGCGGCCCGCGUCUGAUUAGCUAGUUGGUUGAGGUAAUGGCUCACCAAGGCGACGAUCAGUAGCUGGUCUGAGAGGAUGAUCAGCCACAUUGGGACUGAGACACGGCCCAGACUCCUACGGGAGGCAGCAGUGCGGAAGAUUCGACAAGGGGCGAAAGCGUGAUCUAGUGAGGACGGGUGUGUGGAGAAGGUCUUCGGUUCGUAAAGAACGUUAAGGGGGGAAGAAGAGCAGUAAGCUUACACCUUGCUGUUUUGACGGUACCCCCAGAAAAAGCCCCGGCUAACUCCGUG
This 459-nucleotide ribosomal RNA is filed under the name uncultured bacterium. RNAcentral describes it as "partial 16S ribosomal RNA". It matches the Rfam family "Bacterial small subunit ribosomal RNA", at positions 29 to 507 of the family's 1533-position model. The record is from RNAcentral.